UGGGGAAUAUUGCACAAUGGGCGCAAGCCUGAUGCAGCCAUGCCGCGUGUAUGAAGAAGGCCUUCGGGUUGUAAAGUACUUUCAGCGGGGAGGAAGGGAGUAAAGUUAAUACCUUUGCUCAUUGACGUUACCCGCAGAAGAAGCACCGGCUAACUCCGUGCCAGCAGCCGCGGUAAUACGGAGGGUGCAAGCGUUAAUCGGAAUUACUGGGCGUAAAGCGCACGCAGGCGGUUUGUUAAGUCAGAUGUGAAAUCCCCGGGCUCAACCUGGGAACUGCAUUCGAAACUGGCAGGCUGGAGUCUUGUAGAGGGGGGUAGAAUUCCAGGUGUAGCGGUGAAAUGCGUAGAGAUCUGGAGGAAUACCGGUGGCGAAGGCGGCCCCCUGGACAAAGACUGACGCUCAGGUGCGAAAGCGUGGGGAGCAAACAGG
RNAcentral lists this ribosomal RNA (429 nucleotides) under Chloroflexota bacterium. RNAcentral's name for it is "Chloroflexi bacterium partial 16S ribosomal RNA". It matches the Rfam family "Bacterial small subunit ribosomal RNA", at positions 355 to 776 of the family's 1533-position model. The record is from RNAcentral. Lineage: Bacteria; Bacillati; Chloroflexota.